AUGCCCGUAUCUGAACAUUUUGACGAUAUUUACGCGACGGAACCAGUCCUUACGAGCGUUGAAAAUGUUGAAGAAUACAAUGCAGGCAUCAUACCCGUAGCUGAUAAUGUUGACGAUACUUCCACAACAGAACUAGAUGGUUCUAAAUUGCUACGUAUUGAUGAUGCUCAUGAUUCUUCGUUGUCCGCUCUGAGUAAUAUAACACUGAAUUUUGGCACACCUGUAGCGCAACAUGGAAAUGGGCAAGAACCUUUGAAAUUCAGGAUGCUUGAGUCUUUUGAAAACAAUAAGGAUAAUACGACUAACCUACAGGAUGAAAAUGAAGAGGACACAACUUGCGAGCAGAAGGCAACGGGAUCUGUAUUUUUUGAACGGAAGAAAUCCGCUGAUCAAGCUAGGGAACAGUUCAAUGCACAGAAGCGCGCAGCUUAUCGGAAGAAAAAAUAUGAGGAUAUGGUCAGGUUACAAAAGGAGAAUCAACCUUCCCUUCCAAAGACUGACCAUAGGGAUCUUAUCAACGCGUGGAGGCGGGCAUCUUAUCGCACAAACAAGUCAGAUUGUUUAAAAAAACAUCAAGAAGAUGGGCAUAAUGUUCAUCGCCGUUCUCUAUGUGAUAUCACCAACGUGAAACAACCUUCAUAUGUGAUUCCAGGAGAUGAACUGAUGGGACAAUGCAACAAAAACGGGUCGGAUCAUAUGCUUGGGCAGCUAAACAAGCACACACGAGAUGAUCUAUGUCCCCUUCGUAUUUCAAGUAGCUCGGACUAA
This 768-nucleotide ribosomal RNA is filed under the name Triticum aestivum (bread wheat). RNAcentral's name for it is "partial small subunit ribosomal RNA". The record is from RNAcentral. Lineage: Eukaryota; Viridiplantae; Streptophyta; Magnoliopsida; Poales; Poaceae.